GCCGGGUGUGGUGGUGUGCGCCUGUAAUCCCAGCUACUUGGGAGGCUGAGGCAGGAGAAUCGCUUGAACCCAGGAGGCGGAGGUUGCAGUGAGCUGAGAUUGUGCUACUGCACUCCAGCCUGGGCAAUAGAGUGAGACUCUGUCUCAA
This is an unclassified non-coding RNA of Pongo abelii (Sumatran orangutan), 148 nucleotides long. It matches the Rfam family "Metazoan signal recognition particle RNA". Rfam says of the family: The signal recognition particle (SRP) is a universally conserved ribonucleoprotein. The record is from Ensembl. Lineage: Eukaryota; Metazoa; Chordata; Mammalia; Primates; Hominidae.